AGAGUUUGAUCCUGGCUCAGGAUGAACGCUAGCGGCAGGCCUAACACAUGCAAGUCGAGGGGUAGAGUUAGCUUGCUAACUUGAGACCGGCGCACGGGUGCGUAACGCGUAUGCAAUCUACCUUGUACAGGGGGAUAGCCCAGAGAAAUUUGGAUUAAUACCCCAUAGUAUAUUUGAAUCGCAUGGUUUAUAUAUUAAAGUUCCAACGGUACAAGAUGAGCAUGCGUCCCAUUAGCUAGAUGGUAAGGUAACGGCUUACCAUGGCAAUGAUGGGUAGGGGUCCUGAGAGGGAGAUCCCCCACACUGGUACUGAGACACGGACCAGACUCCUACGGGAGGCAGCAGUGAGGAAUAUUGGUCAAUGGACGCAAGUCUGAACCAGCCAUGCCGCGUGCAGGAAGACGGUCCUAUGGAUUGUAAACUGCUUUUAUACAGGAAGAAACAACUCUACGUGUAGAGUCUUGACGGUACUGUAGGAAUAAGGAUCGGCUAACUCCGUGCCAGCAGCCGCGGUAAUACGGAGGAUCCAAGCGUUAUCCGGAAUCAUUGGGUUUAAAGGGUCCGUAGGCGGCCUUAUAAGUCAGUGGUGAAAUCUCCUAGCUCAACUAGGAAACUGCCAUUGAUACUGUAGGGCUUGAAUUCUUAUGAAGUAACUAGAAUAUGUAGUGUAGCGGUGAAAUGCUUAGAUAUUACAUGGAAUACCAAUUGCGAAGGCAGGUUACUAAUAAGACAUUGACGCUGAUGGACGAAAGCGUGGGGAGCGAACAGGAUUAGAUACCCUGGUAGUCCACGCCGUAAACGAUGGAUACUAGCUGUUCGGACGCAAGUUUGAGUGGCUAAGCGAAAGUGAUAAGUAUCCCACCUGGGGAGUACGCACGCAAGUGUGAAACUCAAAGGAAUUGACGG
Molecule: ribosomal RNA, 906 nt
Filed under: uncultured marine bacterium
Lineage: Bacteria
Description: bacterial SSU rRNA
Rfam family: Bacterial small subunit ribosomal RNA
Source: RNAcentral